UUUAAGACUGUUUUGGACCCCAGAUGUUUCAAGACACUGGUGUAUAGAAGCCAUCACACAAGAAGUCUUACAGAAGGAUUACACGCACAGCUGAUCCCAGGAUCCUGACAUGUCUGAAGAAACCACAAGCUCACAGACGCUCACAGAUAAGUACAGCCCUGGCAUGACAGGCCAUUUUUCCCCAAACACAAACACUCCAACCACAUGAAUCAGCAGAUGAAAGGCAUGCCAGAAUCAGGGGGCAUCGCUCACACGCAGACGUGCCGUAUGUUAACGGGCACCAUGUAUGAAAAAAAAAAAAAAAGAAAGAAAAUUAUUCACUGUAAUCACUGAACCAAGUUCCUUGGUGGUUUUCUCUGUAAGUGUGUGUGUGUGUGUGUGUGUGUGUGUGUGUGUGUGUGUUUGCGUGGGUGGAAGUCAGACCACAGGUGCUGGAAAGAUCAAAGAGCAGCAGAAAAUCUGACAAAGAUUUGGACAAUGAUUCUAAACAUACGGUGUGUACUGUAUUACUGGCCCAUGCAUUAAAGCCUUCACAAGUCUAAAUGUUCAAGAAUGAGAAGUAGUGCAUUUUUCCUUACCCGGCAGCAUGGAGGCUUUUACUGCACACUAGACUGAAAUGCAAAUGAGCUUUUUAUUGAACAAAUAGACAAAUUUAAAUACAAAAUUAUCUCACAUCAUAUCACAAUGUUCACAAUUUUGCAAAUUUGUAACUAGUAGUCAUUAAAGUACACCCAUUCUCAUCACAUAAAGUUUUUCACAGAAUUGCAUUGAUGAAAGUACUGUAGACAAAUCUUAGGGUCACCAUGUGCAAUGCUAAGAUUCAGCUAAAGAGAUGUGAAGCCCAAGUAAAGCUUUACAUACAGCAUGUUAUCUACUGUAAUGAAGCAGCAUCUAUUAUCCUUGAGAUUAAAUAAUUGCCCAUCUGUGAUCACAGAUCUCAACGAAUGCUUAGUAUUCAUUUAGUAUUCAGCCAUGGCUCCCUCCUCAUCCAUUCAUCCACUCUAACCAUUCCAAGCUCAGCUACUGUGUCUGUUAGCAUUGUGGAUCAGACCUUGUUGAGGCCAGCUAUUAGCACUGCGGCUAAAAUGCUCCAACCCUGCUGAGCCUGGCUGCUGUGUCUGUUAGCACUGCAGAUCCAGCUCUGCUGAGCCCAGCUUUUAGGAUGCUUGCAGAUCUCUAUUACUGUGUUAGCUGCUACUGUCCCUGGUAGCCUCACAGCUAUCGCAUUCAAACUUACAAUGUUUUUUGGUUGAGGAAUCAAUACAGUUUGAAAAAUUAUCAUCUACAUAUUCAUAAUAUGUGUGUAGGCAUAUUAAAUAUUUACAUCCUGAUUGGUCUCUUCUUUUACUUAGUAGAUCUAUUACUUUACAGUUUAGUGUUGUUCCGCAAGUCAGUGCCAGAGGGUUGUAAUGCAUGGUAUAUAAAAUCCACUACCCAUACCUGUAUUACCCUGUGUUUGCCUAUAUUACCUUGUGUUUUCCUGUACUACCUUGUGUUUGUCUAUAUUACCCUGUGUUUGUCUGUACUACCCUGUGUUUACCUGUAUUACCCUAUGUUUGCCUGUUUUACCCUGUGUUUGCCUGUACUACCUUGUGUUUUCCUGUUUUAUCCUGUGUUUGCCUGCUUUACCCUGUGUUUGCCUGUACUACCCUGUGUGUGCCUGUACUACCCUGUGUUUGCCUGUACUACCUUGUGUUUUCCUGUACUACCUUGUGUUUGCCUGGACUACUUUGUGUUUGUCUGUUUUACCCUGUGUUUACCUGUAUUACCCUGUGUUUUCAUGUACUACCCUGUGUUUGCCUGUACUACCUUGUGUUUGACUGUACUACCCUUUGUUUGCCAGUACUACUCUGUGUUUUUCUGUAUUACCCUGUUUUGGCCUGUAAUACCCUGUUUUUGUCCCCUGUGUCUGGCUGUGUUACCCUGAUUGUAAGACAUGGUAAGAUACGUUUACAGGUCUAAUUCUUUUGACGGUAUAAUUAAGCAUAUAUAUAUAUAUACUAGCUCCUAACAACAUAUGGUUGUUAGAUGGCAAGGCUGUUAAAAAAUGUAAAGAAACCUUUAACCGGGCAAAGAACCAUUUAAGGAUACAGAUGGUUCUUUAACUUGUCAUGAUUCCUUAUUGACCUGCUGACUUUACUUAAGAAUCAUUGAAGAAACUCUGAAUAUUAUGCUUAGUAAGUGUCUGGAUGCUUUUGGAAGUGCUGUACAUUUUAUUGUGAAUGUGCAGUAAAGUCCUCAUGGGAGUUAAUCGUACUUGUUUUUCAAUAUCUGUAACAGCUUUUGUAAAGAAUGCGGCCCCUCAGACAUUCUCAGGUGUUGAUGUUCCUCUGCAGCAGAAAGGCACUGGGGAACAUGAGAAGCUGCUUGGUGUUUUAAAAGCGCUGCUCUGUUUAAGGCAAGAGCUCUACAGAAACCUCGGACAAAGGAGCGCACAGGUCACCGUGCUUCUCUCCGCUCUCCUCUGUUUUUGCCUCCGUUUGUCUCUCCUGUUCUUUUCUCUUGUGGGUUGGGCUCAGGCAGUGAGUACCAGCCUGCAGCUAAGUUUUUCAUUUGGAUCAAAUUUCCCCGGUGCAGAUGCUGCAACAGAACAGGACUCAUGAAAAAUAAUGCACGCAUGCUCGCUUAGCAAAACACCAGCCUCAGGAAUUCCUGUUUGGCCUUAAAGACCUAAACAGCUUUUGAAAAACAGUUUGGCUGAGAAGCGCCGAGGCUCAGACACAGACAUGAAAAGGAAUGCUCGAGAGCUGAGAGACAUGAGACACCGUGUUUGUUUGGAGGCACGGUACUACUAGUUCACCAAGGUCAUCUCAGCUAGCUGAUCAAACGUGGAAUGCGUUCUCUUCAUGUUUUCUUUUUUCUUUCCCUCAGCUUAAUGCUGGUGAAGUAUCUUAUUUUGCCAUCAAGCUUCUUGGUUCUAACAUGUCUGCUGGUUUUGAUAUGGACUGGGAUAGUGUCAUAAUGGGAUGGAAUUACUGUAAAAGGAUAGAGGAAGGCCUACAUCUGUUCUCGGGAUGUUUCGUUCAGCAGUCAUUCGCCGCUAAACCAAAACAUCAGGCCUGCGUAAUCUCUUCUCGCUGACUGGUGUUUAUUGUUUUUCUUCCUCAUGCUUACUAAUUGGACGAUCGUGAAAGAUAGAGGGACGAGCAGUCAGGAUGGAGCGGUGCGUGCGUGCGGAGGAAGCUGACGUCAACCCGGCGACCGGCCGCUCGCUGGCAUGCACGCACACGUAUCGAGUGCUCUGCUGAUAUAAGCUGACAGCCACUGGAGGGUCCAGAGCUGUAUUUGAGAGGGAUCCCAGUUCUCUUGUUAUCAAAUCCCACCUACUCGCUGAUGUCAUCCAACCACAAUUUCCGUGCUGCAACAACAUAAUGGGAAGACUCAACACGCUUGGAGGAGAACAUUAACUGCCAGUUCUCUUUUGAGAGCAAACGCUGGUUAUCCGUCAGUGUCUUGCUGAUUGAUGAGGGGAAGAGGGAGGGCCAUGCUACCCACUCAGAGAGGCCAGUUAUGCUGUUUUAGGCUCCCAGCACCAGAUGGCUGUGGCAUCACCAGGGAUCAAUCUCACGAUCGUCUGAUGAUAAAGUCAAAGCUGAUUUUGUACUAUUUUUUUUAUUUUUUUUUCAUAAUAAUCAAAGGCAGUUUAUGCAGUGUAUUCAGUUUGUACAGGAUUUGUAUUUAAGACAUUAUUUUAAAAUGUAAAAUCAUUACCAUGAUUAAUAGAAUUUUGAAUACUGUUACAGCUCUGUAUUCUGACAAAGUGAUACUAUUAUUACAACUGUUUAGAAAAAAAAAACAAUAUGACACAUAGCAUUCAAUACACAAGCUCAUUAUACAUUAAGCCCAUUCACACUGUAUGCAGUAAAUGUCAGACUGCUGUGAAGUGCUGAUGUCUCACUGUGAAAUUAUAGUAGAAGUACUAUUUACAGAAUGUACUGUAAAAGGUCUGUUAACUGUUCAGAUUAGUUUAAUAAUUAAUAAUAAUUAUAAUAAUAAAGGUUCUGUUCAGUGUAUUCAAAUGUAAAAGCAAGAUUUUUGAGUCUAACAACUCCAUACAUGGAAAGUAAGCAGCAAAAUCAGUCAAAUUUAAAUCCAUCAUGGUUGUGACAUUACUGACAUUGUAACUUUAAACAGUGUGCUUUAAACAAUAUUUAAACCUAAAUAUUCAGUGUAUAAGAAAAUAGAAACUGGUGUACAGAGCUUUCACGCCAGUAGCUUUCAGUUCUUUUGAAUUUUAAACAUUUUCUUACAUAGAUUUUUACACUAACUGCGUGGAUGUGAACAGGGCCAAAGAACGGCAUUGCCGCUUAUCAGAUGAAUAGACAUAUUGUAGUAUAUAUAUUGUCUGUGAUGCACAAAAACCUUCUCAAAAAAACUAUUUUUUAGCUGUAUUUAACCUUUUAGACAUUGUGUGAACCUGGCAGUUGUUUUUUUAUUCUUUUGCAAAAAAGUGUUUUAGUAGAUGGAUAAAAAAUUAUCCAAAAUACCUUGAAAUAAAAGGCUUUUAUUUGUA
Long non-coding RNA from Astyanax mexicanus (Mexican tetra), 4513 nucleotides. RefSeq lists it as uncharacterized. The transcript has 3 exons. Lineage: Eukaryota; Metazoa; Chordata; Actinopteri; Characiformes; Acestrorhamphidae. The record is from RefSeq and is a predicted model, not a curated record.